AGUGAACGCUGGCGGUAGGCCUAACACAUGCAAGUCGAACGGCAGCACAGUAAGAGCUUGCUCUUACGGGUGGCGAGUGGCGGACGGGUGAGGAAUACAUCGGAAUCUACUUUUUCGUGGGGGAUAACGUAGGGAAACUUACGCUAAUACCGCAUACGACCUACGGGUGAAAGCAGGGGAUCUUCGGACCUUUCGCGAUUGAAUGAGCCGAUGUCGGAUUAGCUAGUUGGCGGGGUAAAGGCCCACCAAGGCGACGAUCCGUAGCUGGUCUGAGAGGAUGAUCAGCCACACUGGAACCUAGACACGGUCCAGACUCCUACGGGAGGCAGCAGUGGGGAAUAUUGGACAAUGGGCGCAAGCCUGAUCCAGCCAUACCGCGUGGGUGAAGAAGGCCUUCGGGUUGUAAAGCCCUUUUGUUGGGAAAGAAAAGCAGCAGGUUAAUACCCCGCUGUUCUGACGGUACCCAAAGAAUAAGCACCGGCUAACUUCGUG
RNAcentral lists this ribosomal RNA (492 nucleotides) under uncultured bacterium. Its description in RNAcentral is "partial 16S ribosomal RNA". It matches the Rfam family "Bacterial small subunit ribosomal RNA", at positions 29 to 507 of the family's 1533-position model. The record is from RNAcentral.